GGUAACUUCCUAGACACAGAGACUGUGAUUUGAGUGUUUUUUAAGUUUGCUUUUCUCAGUAGUUUUUCGGGAAGAGAGGACUUCUAAGAGCUCUGAGUUGGUUGUAACAGAAGUAGUUACUAGUUCUGCAACUUAAUUUUCCUUUGAAUAAAAGAAACAGUUGUUAAAGAUAAAUUUAAGAUAUUAUUUUCAGUGGGGAUCAGUUUUAAACUUAUCUAGUAUAUUAGAUACUUAGUUUUAUGUAACUUGAAGGUUUAAUUUUGUCUCAUGUCAUUGAAUCUAAAAUUAAUUUUCCUCUUGAUGUAUAUUCUUCAACUCUGUUACCUUCCUUUCCCUUUGCUUUAUGUACUGAAAGGUAACAAUUGCUAAAAUAUAAACACAUUAUAUAAAUAGUAAAUGAGUUAGAGGUUACAGAUUUCAUCAGAACACACUAGUGGGGAAAUGAUAUCAACUGGUAAUGGAAACUGGUUAAAAAUGGAUUGAAAUAGAGCAGUUCUGUUUUUCUAACCUGAGGGAAUGUGGGAAUUUGUAUUUAACACAGUGGUCAUCAUGUGAUUAGUUGAUAACAUUGAAGCAUCCAGGCUCCAGUGCAGAACUAGAGUUGCUUUUUCCAUAGCUUGAAUAGAUCAGUUCCUCAAAAUAUAUGGGUACAGCUGUUUGCAUCAAAUUAAUGAGUUCAGACAUUUUUAAUAUAUAUAAAUAGGAUCGAGAGAGUCAUAUGGCAGGGUGUCCUUCAUUUGUACUUAGUGUUCAAGUGACAAAUCAUAAAAUGAAGGGAAAUGUUAGCAGUAAUGAAUUUGAAUGUAAACUGGAACCUGCUUAAGUAGGCAUCAGUUUUGCAUGGCGGGACCCAUAAAACCAUUUCAAGUAGAAAUGACCUCUUUGACUGCGAAGAGGCAGAAGAUGGGGCUUGGUAGAUAGUAGGGGCUGGAAGAAGAAAACUCUGAUAUGAAAAAUGCUAAAAGCAAGGGAGAAAUAUGCUUAGAAUUUUGAUAACAUAAGCCGACAUGGAACUUAGAGUUUUUAUUAAAUUGUCACUUCAAAAUAUUUGCAUUGAAGUCAGACACAGUGGUACAUGCCUGUAAUUCCAGCUGCUUGGAAAGCUGAGGCAGGAUUGCAAGUUCAAAGCCAGCCUGGGCAAUUUAGGGAGACUCUCCCAAAUUUAAAAGGACCAAGGGAUGUAGUUUAGUGGUAGAGUGCCUGCCCAGCAUUUGUGAGACCUAGGAUUCUAUCCCUAGUAAUGGGGGAAAAAAACUGCUGUGAGAUCUGCUUACCCCAACCUAUUAAGAGGUUGAGGGCUGGGCCCGAUGGUGCACACCUAUAAUCCCAGUGGCUUAGGAGGCUGAGACAAGAAGAUUCUAAGUUGAAAGCCUCAGCAAAUUAGUGAGGCCCAAAGCAACUCAGUGAGAGCCUGUGUCUAAAUAAAAUACAAAAUAGGACUGGGCAUGUGGCUCAGUGGUAGAGUUCACCCUGCCCAAAAGAAAAAGAGGUUGAGAGAGGCUGUGUUGAGAAUAUUUAACAUUUUUUGGG
RNAcentral lists this long non-coding RNA (1530 nucleotides) under Marmota monax (woodchuck). The record is from RNAcentral. Lineage: Eukaryota; Metazoa; Chordata; Mammalia; Rodentia; Sciuridae.